RNAcentral lists this ribosomal RNA (484 nucleotides) under uncultured bacterium. RNAcentral describes it as "partial 16S ribosomal RNA". It matches the Rfam family "Bacterial small subunit ribosomal RNA", at positions 30 to 507 of the family's 1533-position model. The record is from RNAcentral.
AUUGAACGCUGGCGGCAGGCCUAACACAUGCAAGUCGAGCGGAUGAAGGGAGCUUGCUCCUGGAUUCAGCGGCGGACGGGUGAGUAAUGCCUAGGAAUCUGCCUGGUAGUGGGGGAUAACGUCCGGAAACGGGCGCUAAUACCGCAUACGUCCUGAGGGAGAAAGUGGGGGUUCUUCGGACCUCACGCUAUCAGAUGAGCCUAGGUCGGAUUAGCUAGUUGGUGGGGUAAAGGCCUACCAAGGCGACGAUCCGUAACUGGUCUGAGAGGAUGAUCAGUCACACUGGAACUGAGACACGGACCAGACUACUACGGGAGGCAGCAGUGGGGAAUAUUGGACAAUGGGCGAAAGCCUGAUACAGCAAUGCCGCGUGUGUGAAGAAGGUCUUCGGAUUGUAAAGCACUUUAAGUUGGGAGGAAGGGAAGUAAGUUAAUACCUUGCUGUUUUGACGUUACCAACAGAAUAAGCACCGGCUAACUUCGUG